RNAcentral lists this ribosomal RNA (264 nucleotides) under uncultured bacterium. RNAcentral describes it as "partial 16S ribosomal RNA". It matches the Rfam family "Bacterial small subunit ribosomal RNA", at positions 57 to 305 of the family's 1533-position model. The record is from RNAcentral.
GCAAGUCGAACGAGAAAGCUCCCUUCGGGGAGUGAGUACAGUGGCGAACGGGUGAGUAACGGGUGGGAAACCUGCCUCUCUGCGGGGGAUAACAUUCCUAACGGGGUGCUAAUACCGCAUGGUCCGGUGCAUCGCAUGGUGCGUCGGUAAAGAUGGCCUCUACAUGUAAGCUGUCACAGAGAGAUGGUCCCGCCUCCCAUUAGCUUGUUGGUGGGGUAAUGGCCUACCAAGGCGACGAUGGGUAGCGGGGUCGAGAGGCUGAAC